RNA transcript from Dicentrarchus labrax (European seabass), 2852 nucleotides. It is a transcript of the gene named tudor domain containing 3, with no coding region annotated. The record is from RefSeq and is a predicted model, not a curated record. The transcript has 14 exons. Lineage: Eukaryota; Metazoa; Chordata; Actinopteri; Moronidae.
AGAGCGCGUCUCGGUCGGUGACGUAGGUUACGUAGAGUCGUUCACUACUCACAUUAGCGAGCCUUAUCAUCGUUAGGAGGAUAAUAUGUGUUACAGGAACAGAUAGUCGUCCUUCUACUGUGCUACCUUUAAACAUAUUGGUGCCGUUAUUUACACAUCAACCGUUCGGACGAAAAAUGACCGAUUUGUCCGAUUUCCUGACCAAAGAGGGCUGGUACCUCAGUGAAGAAGGCAUAGCAGAGCUGAAAGGGUCUGCUGAGAAAAUAACACCCAGUGACAUUAUUCGUAUUGCACUUGAUAGUGAUCUUAGGCCUAUUGGGAGAAAAUUUCUACCGUCUGAUAUCAAUAGUGGAAGAACUGAGAAGUUGGACGGCCCAUGUGUUCUCCAGCUGCAGAAGGUGAGGAACGUCUCAGCUCCUAAAGACCAUGAGGAGUCCCAGGGCGCGCCACGAAUGCUGCGGCUACAAAUGACAGAUGGACAUACCACCUGUGUUGGAUUGGAGUUUAAACACCUGUCUAAGAUCAGUCUUAAUACACCGCCUGGAACAAAGGUAAAGCUGCUUGGUACAGUCCAGGUUAAGAAUGGUCUUUUGCUGCUUGAUGACUCAAAAAUCUCUGUCCUUGGAGGAGAGGUUGAUCACAUGGUGGAGAAAUGGGAACUACAAAGGAGUCUGGCCAAACACAGCAGGAGUAACAUUGGUGCAGAAGGUGGACCUCCUCCCUUUGUGCCAUUUGGUCAGAAGUGUGCAAGGAAAGAUGAAGUAGACAGCAGAGACCUAGACCAGAGGAAGACCCUCCAGACUCACAACGUGGUCAAAAGUCCGGAUGAGAAUGAUGAGUUUGAAAAGCAGCGCAUAGCAGCUAUUGCUGAGGUGGCCAAGACCAAAGAGGGUCCGCGAACGUUCGGUGGUGGAGGGAAUGCAGGCAGUAAUUUAUCCAGUGCUGCUUCCUCUUCCCGGGGCCGAGACUCAUACCAACAAAGGAGACGAGAAGACCGGGUCGAAAGAACUGACAGCAGACAAGAUGGAAACUAUCGAGAGCUGGUGGAUGAGCGUGCUCUACGAGACAUCAUGGAGAUGGGCUUUAACAGAGAGGCUGCUCGGCAGGCUCUAAUGGAUAAUAACAACAACCUUGAAGUGGCUUUAAACUGCCUACUGACUGGAUCUUCUGGUAGCAGACCUGGGCCGGUGGUAGCUGAAUGUAACAAGCCCCCACCCAGAGCCAGGGGAAGAGGAAGAGGCAGGUCCAGAAAUGAAGAUGAGGAGGAGGGAGCAGGGGGAAGGCCAUCUGGACCAAGCACUCUGUUUGACUUUCUGGAAUCCAAGAUGGGAGUUUUUUCCAUUGAUGAGUCUAAGAACCAGGCACCACAGAGACAUCAUGAGAGUAAAGGGAAUUUCUCCAACUCCGACUAUUACUCCAAAGACACAUCUCAGACAAAGUUCUCCUCGCAUAAUGAGCAUAGGCAACAAAGGAAUGACAGACCACCUCGGUUUCACAGGGACACUGAUUUUCCCAAACCCGGCCAGGAGCCUCUCUCUAACUGUACCACCCCCCAAACAUCAGCUCAAGCCCAGCAGUGGAAGGGACAGGAGAGAUGGUCACGAGGCACAUCAGACAGACUGCAAAAUGACAGGAGAGAGAUGCGGGAUGAGCAGAUUUUUCCUUCAUCCUUCACGACUACUUUUACACGUUCGAAAGAACCUCAGCAGCAGAUGGAGUUUGGUGGAUCCUACCACCAACGAUCCAGAAAUGGCGAUGGUGGUGGGAACAUGACUGGACCAUCUCACAGGAGAGGGGGGAAAGACACUGCGCCCACAUCCAAACAGACCAAUUUCGCAGGCAGUGAGGUAGAUGGAAGAGGAAGUAAUAAACGCACAGACAGAACUGAAGAGCCUAACAACAGCAGGAGGAUGGGAAAGGCUGACCGGCCACACUCCGACCACCUUGACCGACAAAGGGAUAGCGGGCCACCAAACUUUAACUUGAGGGGAGGAAGCUCGGGGCCGUCCCAAGAAGCAGGGUUAUCACGGGAUUGCCAAAUCAUGACAGGCGAUCCUUCUCAUUUCCAAAAUGGGGAUAUGGAACACAAAAGAACUGGGCCAAUCAAGCCACCAACUUCCUCAUUUCCUCCCAAGGAGUUGCCCCCCAAGAAAAAUGCUCCUAAUAACCCAGGAUCUAAAAGAAGGUCAGGACAAGGCAAAGGUCAAGGUCAAGGUCAAGGUCCUCGUGGGUCAGAGAAAAGUCACAUUGUGGAGCGCCCUUGGAAACCUGGAGACCAGUGCCUGGCACUGUACUGGGAGGACAGCAAGUUCUACCAUGCCAGAAUAGAUGCUGUGCAUCCAUCAGGCUCCACGGCUGUGGUUGUAUUUAGUGAUUAUGGAAACUGCGAAGAGGUCCUGCUGCAUAACAUCAAACCUGUUCCUGCUGAUGUGUUGUAACAUCACAACCAUGUCAAAUGUACAAUGGCAGGAGGAAGAUGAUGGUUACUACGACAGUUCACUAGAGUUUCGCCGUGGGGGAGAUGGACAGCCUAGACGCACAAGACCAACACAGCAGUAUUACCAGCCACCCAGGGCGCGAGAUUGAUGUGUCUGUGUUUACAGCGUGCUUGUCCCUCAUCCUUCCAUGACAAAGAUUAUGUGACUUUCUGCAACAAUCCACAGUGCUUCCUGAACUUUUAAGUGUCCACAUCAUCAGGACAUACAGAACUUUUCAAAGGGCUUGGACACCAUGCAAAAAUAAAAAUAAAAAAACUGACAUGAGCACCUGUUGAUUUUGUUAAGGACAUAUCUACUGUAUAUGUUGUGAAGAUUUGUUUAAUGGAUGCAUUAAAAUAAACAGUUAUUAUAGUA